This 497-nucleotide ribosomal RNA is filed under the name uncultured bacterium. Its description in RNAcentral is "partial 16S ribosomal RNA". It matches the Rfam family "Bacterial small subunit ribosomal RNA", at positions 28 to 507 of the family's 1533-position model. The record is from RNAcentral.
GAUGAACGCUGGCGGCGUGCCUAAUACAUGCAAGUCGAGCGAACGGACGAGAAGCUUGCUUCUCUGAUGUUAGCGGCGGACGGGUGAGUAACACGUGGAUAACCUACCUAUAAGACUGGGAUAACUUCGGGAAACCGGAGCUAAUCCCGGAUAAUAUUUUGAACCGCAUGGUUCAAAAGUGAAAGACGGUCUUGCUGUCACUUAUAGAUGGAUCCGCGCUGCAUUAGCUAGUUGGUAAGGUAACGGCUUACCAAGGCAACGAUGCAUAGCCGACCGGAGAGGGUGAUCGGCCACCCUGGAACUGAGACACGGUCCAGACUCCUACGGGAGGCAGCAGUAGGGAAUCGUCCGCAAUGGGCGGAAGCCUGACGGAGCAACGCCGCGUGAGUGAUGAAGGUCUUCGGAUCGUAAAACUCUGUUAUUAGGGAAGAACAUAUGUGUAAGUAACUGUGCACAUCUUGACGGUACCUAAUCAGAAAGCCACGGCUAACUACGUG